RNAcentral lists this long non-coding RNA (3844 nucleotides) under Canis lupus familiaris (dog). RNAcentral's name for it is "lncRNA (ENSCAFG00000053474.1)". Lineage: Eukaryota; Metazoa; Chordata; Mammalia; Carnivora; Canidae. The record is from RNAcentral.
UUUUUUUUUUACUUUGAUGAAUUAAAAGUUUAUUUAAAUAGUGGACAUGACAUGUUUCUUAUUGAAAAAUAAUCAGAAUAGUCUAUUUGAGGAGAAGUCUACUUCCUAGUUUCCUAUCUACCUAAAAUCUGUCACCAAACAGAAGACCUAUUUGCCAGUUAAUUUAGUAAAUACUUACUGAAUACCUCGUAUAUGCCUAGAACGAGCUAAACGAGCUAUGAGCUAAAUUAGCUGCAGCGGCAAACAAACAAAAUUGAAAUAGAGAUUAUAUUUUCGUUUAAUUGACUAGGAAGACAAUCCAGUAAACAAAUUAAUGAGCAAUCUAUUUUCAGUAAACAACGCCACAAAGACAAUAAAUUAAGGGCUCUGUGUUAGAAAAUAAAGGAAGGGAAGAAAGUAAACCUUGGACAAAGGGUCAGGGACAGUCCCUCCGGGGAGGGGUUAUGUCUAUCUAUCUAAUCUUAAAUGAUGAGAAGUAGCUGGUAUUUUAAAGAACCAAAUUAGCAUGACACAUGCAAAGGCCUCAAAAAGGGAAAUACUUGGUGUGGCCAAUACCAGUAUAGCUGGAGGAUUGAAGCAAGAGUGACAUAAAGUGAUUGAUAUUCAAAAAACCUAACUCUAGGGGCUCCUGGGUGGCUCAGUGGGUUAAGUGUUGGCCUUCCGCUCAGGUCAUGAUCCCAGAGUCCUGGAGUCGAGGAACCCCCUCCCCCUCGUUCCCUGUCCAUGUCCCCUGCGUUGGGCUCCUUGCUCAGUGGGGAGUCUGCUUCUCCCUCUGCCCCUCUCCUCUACUUGUUAGGAGAAUAAUGAAGUUUAAAAGUGAAAGUAGAAGAAAUCUCUUAAGAGAGAAAGGGAGGCCACUUUUAGACGGCAAAAAACUUGGUAACUUUGAAAACGAUACUUGCAACACAUGCAGCUAACAAAGGGGUAAUACCUAUCACAUUAUGAAUCUAUCAUCUAUGAAUGUAUCUAAAUAGAUGUUUUAAGAAAAUUAGGAUCAACAGUCCCAUAGAAAAGUGGGUGGGGGUUUUCAACUGAGAGUUUAUACUAAAAGAAAUGGGGGGAAAAUGUUUAACUGUAUAUAUUUUUUUAAAUAUUAGGGGGAAAAAAGCAAAAUUUGAUCCUAUAUCACAUCCCAAAAAAAUGUGUCCCAAAGUUAAUUUGGUAAAUAAUAUGAACUGAUGAAUACACAAGUAUAUUCAGUGCAGCGGAAGAGAAUAAACCACCCAAAUGUCCAUCAAUUGGGGUACCGUUUGAGUACGGUACCAAGGGAUACAAACACACACAAAGACCAAAUAUGGAUCUUUUUAGAAGCAUUUUGUAGACAGUUGUAAAGUGGGGGCAUUAGCUACAUAAGAAUGUGAAAUCAAAAGAGGAUUUGUUUUUCCUAUAUAAGAUAUAUAUUUUAUCUAUAUUUCAUACAUAUGUAUACGUACGCGUGUACAUCACAUCAUUCAUGUGAUGAGCAGGCUGGUGUUGGGCACGUGCAUGACAGUUAAAUCAAGAAUCAAACUGCAGAUUUAACAAUGGUUACAAAUGUCCAGCUGAGAAACUGGCAGAGGAAAUAUUCUAAUGCCGAAGUUAUGCAUUUAACUUGACCUGAAUGCCCAAACUGAGGAGAAUAAUGCAAAUCUCCUCAGUGAAUUCAUAAUUGUGUGCACUGCAUUAGAAAUUGUUAGAUGCCUUAGUAUUAGCAUCAGGGUACUUUCAGUUGAAUUAAAUGAAGAAAAGAUACUAGUAUUAAAAUUUGCAACCAGGAGGCGGAAGGGAGAAAAAGAAUGAAAUGUUUAGUCGGACAUUUCAAUCAAAACUUCCAAAAGAAAGAGUCCAAGGUAAACACAACAUUUUGAUUUUUCUCUUUUUCAGAAAAAAAAAACAAAAAACAAACUCAAAUUUGGCUUCUCUGCCCAAAUGGUUUGGGGAUCAUUUAUAUUUUCAGGAUAAAAUGAAGAUAUUUAUUAGUAAUCUAUAACAAGCUAUUACUAGCAUGCAAAACAAUAUUGUUGACUUUCAAAAAGAUGAUGAAACUUCCAAAAUUUUUAAAUGCUUCAUAGAUGUAUUUAUACAACUUGACAGUCUCUCUAUAAUUAAUGAUUGAUAUCUAAUUUUGUAUUAUAGGAUAACUUUAUAAAACAAGCACAAUCCUUUGCCCUGUUAAAUGGAGAAAACUGCUUGAGUACUACCAGUGAACUUGAGCAAAAUGAUUUUUUAAAUGAUUUAAAUAAAAAAAAAAAAAAAAAAAUAAAAUAAAUAAAUGAUUUAAAUAAUUUAAAGCCUUAUUUACUUACUGAUUCCUGACCUUGAACAAGAAUAUAGAAACCUUAGUUUGAGGAGGGGAAUUUAUUGACAGAAUAGUGAUAUUCCUAAUGACGAUUAUUAAUUGUGUCUAUAAUGAUUCUCAAAGCCAUACUUACAGUUUUUUCAUCCAGGUGUCAGAACUUCUAUACUUUCAGAAGGGCUACGAUUAGUACUCAUGUUUUCCCCCUCGGAAAGCUGAGGAAUAAAGGGUUUUUUGCUACAUGGCUGAAUUCAGCGAUUCGAUCUUGGGAACUGAGCAUCUAGAUAAAGACAAAGCCUAUGUGCAUUGUCACCUAUUCAUCCGUUCUAAUUAUUGACCUGCCACGUUGAACCUCUUCUAGGCUUGGUCUCGUGUAUAAGAACAUAAUGAACAAAACAGACGUAGUCUCUCUGUCUUGUAGAACUUACUGUCCUAUAGAUGGAAAAAUCUACAGAAUUUUAUCAACGAACUACUGGAAAUGAGUUCCGUGCCCCUGGAGAAUGAAUGUGGCAUGAUGGAAGGCAACGACAGGAAUGACUGAUCAGGAGCCCAGGGUGAGAACAGACGUCGCUGAACAAUGGACAGACAGAGGUUAUGUACAAAAUCUAAGAGGAAGAGUCAGGAUGUGAGCAACCUCAGUUCCAAACCUUGCCCAGCAUGCCCCAACUGGUGUUUCUCAGCAACCAGAAGAGCAGGACCAGAAAAGCCAUGUGAGGUAGUUUAGUUGGGGGGCAUGAAAAGGAUGGAUGUCGUCUCCAACACACUUUAGUUUGGAAGAACAGAACCUCCAAGCCGCUCUGUGAGGAGGGGUCACUCUGUAGAAAAGGAUCCGGUGGUGGGAGCAAAUGAAAUGAAUCCUCUGUUGGGCAUCAGUAAGGAACAGAGCUGGCCCCCAGUCAUGUCACCACCUCCCCUCCAGAGGAGAAAGCAUCCAAUUCCAGUUACAAUCAUCCAUUAAAAAAAAUUUUAUUGAUGCCACCAGCCUUUAUAGCAGCAUUUCCUAAAACAUGCUUCAAAGAACCCUGCUUCCAGGACAUGUUCUUUGGUAGCUAAAUUAAUUUGGUGAUUUCUGCCUAUGUAACCUCUCCUUAGAGGUUCAUGUGCAUGAAUACGUAAAGGAUCACGAAAGCUCCUGGAGUAAAGACACCUGUUGAGCUGCCUUGGUAGCGUUCCCAAGAGGAUUAUUUUGUUCAUUUAAUGCCUAUUAAUGUCUACUGAAACUAGCGUCCCUUGAAACAUGCUGAGAAACACGGUUUUGAUUCUUAAAGAAUCAUUUGCUUCCUUUUGCAUUUUCAAUUAGCCAUCCGAUUUUCAUGAAAGGAAACUUUCAUCCUUCUUCAACUAAAGCAAAAUGCCCACACCUACUCUGAAGAGAAGAUGGGGCCAUAUUCUCCAUGCAGGCCUCUGGGAGAGACCUCUGCAAGGCAUUUCACAAGAAACGGAAGUCCAGCCCUGUGAAUCUGCAAUUUCCUGCUUUUAUUUUAUUUUAUUUUAUUUUAUUUUAUUUUAUUUUAUUUUAUUUUAUUAUUUUAUUUUUUAUUUAUUCAUAGUGACACAGAGAGAGAGAGA